GAGGACAGUGAGGUAAAAACACUUUAAAAACAACAAAGAAAUACAGUAAAGGGUCAAAUGUUCAAAAAAAGUGCUUUUGGAAGAUCUUUUAAAAAUAAAAAAAAAAUGAGAGAAGUUGAAGAAAAGUUGGAAUAAGAGUAAUGUAAGAAAACCAAGAAAAACAUGAAAGGAAGAUCACCAAAUGGUAGCGCAUAUCCAGAAAUUCACAGAGGAAAAUAAUCUAUUAAAAACUAGAAUUGAACAAGGGGAAGAUAAUGAUUUCCUAAGUCAAGAAGAAAUAAUAAAGCAAACUCAAAAGGCUGGAAUAAUAAAUGAAAACGUAUAACAUCUUAUCUUGAAAACAACUAACCUGGAAAAUAAAUCAAGAAGGGACAGUAUAAAAAAUAUUGGAUUCACAGAAGGUUAUGAUGAAAAAGAGUUUAGACACAAUACUCCAAGAAAUAUUCAGGAAAACUGACCAGAAAUUCUAGAAUCAGAGGGUGAAAUAGACAUGGAAAGAAUUCUCUGAUUACCAGCUCAAAGAGGCACAAUGAUUAAAAUGUGCAGGAUCAUAAUAGCUUUGUUCCAUAGGUCUCAGGUUAAAGAGUGCAUACUAUAAGCAUUAAGGGAGAAAUACUGUGGAGCUACAGUCAGAAAAACACAAGACUCAGCAGUAGCCCCAACAUUAAAAGAACACAGGUCUUAGAAAGAACAAGGCUUACAACCAUGAGUAAUAUAUCCAGAAAGGAUGAGCAUAAGUAUAAAAAGGAGAACCUCAUCUAUGGCUCUUGGGAAUGGCAUCAUUGCUUGGCUAUUUUGAAUGUACAUAUAUGGACCAAAGACUUGAGGUGGAGAUGAUUGCAGUGGAUUGAACAGAAUUAGUAGUGGAAUAAACCCAGUGGAACUGGGAUGGAAUGAAUAUCUCAUAUGGAAGAGGAAUGAGUAAAGGAACUACCACAGAGAAGGAGAGAAAUGUGAAAGAUGGAGAGGAGGUCUGGAAGUAUGAAAAACAUAUUCUCAUCAUGAAGAAAGAAAAACAUACACAAUUAGAAGGAAAUGAAAACAUUGGAAAUACAAAAAAGGAAAACAUAUGA
RNAcentral lists this long non-coding RNA (1073 nucleotides) under Monodelphis domestica (gray short-tailed opossum). Its description in RNAcentral is "lncRNA (ENSMODG00000038681.1)". The record is from RNAcentral. Lineage: Eukaryota; Metazoa; Chordata; Mammalia; Didelphimorphia; Didelphidae.